AAGUAACUUUUGGAACCCCUAUGUACCCUAGUUUGGUUAUAUGUUAUUUCCCUUAAGUUUGAAUGGUUUUUGGGUGAAAAAUGUUCAUGGAAAUUUUUUGAGUUUUUCAUGAGUGUUCUUCAUUGUUCUUGACAUUUUUGCCAAGAACAAAAAGUUUGGUGUUUUGAUUCAAAGUUUUGAAUUAUUUCAUAAAGUUUUUGUUUUAUGAUUUAUCAUAUAUUUAAAUGUGUUAGAUAUUUGUUUAGAAAGGUGUAAGAAAUAUUGGUGGGUGUGUAAGGAUUAAUUCCCUUUCACACACACCACUUGCAUGACAUUUAUGUCAUGCACCACUUGCAUGCUUUAUGUCAAAGCUUCAAAAAUCAACUCACACACCAUCACUUACUUCUCUAAAACCGGCCACUCCCUCAAUGGGAGUACUUUUGGGGCUUUUAUGCAAUUACAUAAAGUUUUGAUACUUUUGUGUAUUUGCACUUUGGCCCAAAGUUUACGUUUUUACGUUUAGGUCCAAAAAUGCUAAAGGACAAAUUGUUUUGCUCCUUUAAUGAAGUUUUUGUAUUUGUUGAAAUUUUUGGGUUCUAGUUGUAAUUACAUGAAGUAGUGGACUUUUGUGUUUUUACAAAGUGACCCCAAAGUUUAUGUUUUUGCAAUAUAGCCCAAAAGUUGAGGUUAUUGCAUUUUGGCCCAAAUUAAGUUGAGUACAAAAUUGUUUUGUCUCUUUAAAUGAGAAUUGGAUUUUCAUUUCAUUUAGCUCCAUUUAAAUCAAUUUUAUGGAUACAAAAAACAAAUGAAAAUGUUGCAUUCAAUUUAAUUAGUUAAAGCGUUAAUUAAUUAAAGGGUGAUUA
RNAcentral lists this long non-coding RNA (842 nucleotides) under Malus domestica (apple). Its description in RNAcentral is "long non-coding RNA (MDOM_LNC000026)". The record is from RNAcentral. Lineage: Eukaryota; Viridiplantae; Streptophyta; Magnoliopsida; Rosales; Rosaceae.